GCAUCGAUGAAGAACGCAGCGAAAUGCGAUAAGUAGUGUGAAUUGCAGAAUUCAGUGAAUCAUCGAAUCUUUGAACGCACAUUGCGCCCCUUGGUAUUCCAUGGGGCAUGCCUGUUCGAGCGUCAUUUGUACCUUCAAGCUCUGCUUGGUGUUGGGUGUUUGUCUCGCCUUUUGCGUGUAGACUCGCCUCAAAACGAUUGGCAGCCGGCGUAUUGAUUUCGGAGCGCAGUACAUCUCGCGCUUUGCGCUCACAACGACGACGUCCAAAAAGUACAUUUUUUACACUCUUGACCUCGGAUCAGGUAGGGAUACCCGCUGAACUUAAGCAUAUCAAUAAGCGGAGGA
Molecule: ribosomal RNA, 345 nt
Filed under: uncultured fungus
Lineage: Eukaryota; Fungi
Description: eukaryotic LSU rRNA
Rfam family: 5.8S ribosomal RNA (bases 1-125)
Source: RNAcentral